This 528-nucleotide unclassified non-coding RNA is filed under the name Hevea brasiliensis (rubber tree). The record is from RNAcentral. Lineage: Eukaryota; Viridiplantae; Streptophyta; Magnoliopsida; Malpighiales; Euphorbiaceae.
GGAAAAACAGCUUGACCUCAUUUUAAACAGGAGCAUCUUAUGGACUGACUAUGGGUUACGUUCUCUAGCUAAAACAAGUUCUCUGUACAUGAAACGCAACACAGAGCAUGACCCACCUUAUUGGAGGGGCCCAAUUUGGAUGAACUUGAAUUACAGGAUUCUUUCUGCGCUCUACCACUACUCCAAAGAAGAUGGACCAUACAAAGAUAGGGCCAAGGCGAUCUAUGAGGACUUGAGGAGCAAUUUGAUUAGAAAUGUGGUUCAGAAUUAUCACCAAACUGGGUUUUUGUGGGAACAGUAUGAUCAGAAGAAGGGCAAAGGAAAGGGUGCACGCCUGUUUACCGGUUGGACAUCACUUGUGCUAUUAGUCAUGGCGGAAGCUUAUUGCUGAGCUAAAAUAUGUGUUUUUUUUUUCUAACUCAAUACAAAUUCAAACUCAGGAAUUAGUGUGCCAAUAUUAGAUGUAGCGAUUUCAUGUUGGCGGCAUCAGCCAAUUUUGGGUUAUUAAUACAAUUAGUAAACCAUAGU